CUGCAUGAAGCUGGAAUCGCUAGUAAUCGCGGAUCAGAAUGCCGCGGUGAAUACGUUCCCGGGUCUUGUACACACCGCCCGUCACACCAUGGGAGCCGGGAAUGCCCGAAGUCAGUGGCCCAACCGCAGGGAGGGAGCUGCCGAAGGCAGGCCUGGUGACUGGGGUGAAGUCGUAACAAGGUAAC
This 185-nucleotide ribosomal RNA is filed under the name uncultured bacterium. RNAcentral describes it as "partial 16S ribosomal RNA". It matches the Rfam family "Bacterial small subunit ribosomal RNA", at positions 1316 to 1500 of the family's 1533-position model. The record is from RNAcentral.